This 479-nucleotide ribosomal RNA is filed under the name Bifidobacterium breve. RNAcentral describes it as "bacterial SSU rRNA". It matches the Rfam family "Bacterial small subunit ribosomal RNA", at positions 34 to 520 of the family's 1533-position model. The record is from RNAcentral. Lineage: Bacteria; Bacillati; Actinomycetota; Actinomycetes; Bifidobacteriales; Bifidobacteriaceae.
CGCUGGCGGCGUGCUUAACACAUGCAAGUCGAACGGGAUCCAUCGGGCUUUGCUUGGUGGUGAGAGUGGCGAACGGGUGAGUAAUGCGUGACCGACCUGCCCCAUGCACCGGAAUAGCUCCUGGAAACGGGUGGUAAUGCCGGAUGCUCCAUCACACCGCAUGGUGUGUUGGGAAAGCCUUUGCGGCAUGGGAUGGGGUCGCGUCCUAUCAGCUUGAUGGCGGGGUAACGGCCCACCAUGGCUUCGACGGGUAGCCGGCCUGAGAGGGCGACCGGCCACAUUGGGACUGAGAUACGGCCCAGACUCCUACGGGAGGCAGCAGUGGGGAAUAUUGCACAAUGGGCGCAAGCCUGAUGCAGCGACGCCGCGUGAGGGAUGGAGGCCUUCGGGUUGUAAACCUCUUUUGUUAGGGAGCAAGGCACUUUGUGUUGAGUGUACCUUUCGAAUAAGCACCGGCUAACUCGUGCCAGCAGCCGCGG